This 419-nucleotide long non-coding RNA is filed under the name Fukomys damarensis (Damara mole-rat). RNAcentral's name for it is "lncRNA (ENSFDAG00000022100.1)". Lineage: Eukaryota; Metazoa; Chordata; Mammalia; Rodentia; Bathyergidae. The record is from RNAcentral.
AUCCGGGAUCUCUGUAUCCUUGGAAACCACACCUAGGUAGGUAGCAGUCAAGCCUCCCAGUGCCUUCAGAAUCUUUGCUGAGUGGCCUCUCCAGGUUGUGAAUUUUCCCUGCUUAGGUGUCCAUCAAGGGAAGAAGACUGGAGGAAAAGCUGCUGGAACGUGAACCACUGACAUUAUCAGAUGAUUCUUCAUACUUGUUGCUUCUGCCCAGUUUUGUUCCAGGCUCUUCGCCAUGAAGCCUGCACCAACAAAGGAACCCAUGGAAGGGACUGCUGCUGUCAUUCCUAUUCUGUGACAGGCAAGAGUCAAAGGCAAUAAUUAGGCCACUCCUCAAAACUUAGAGUGACUCAGGCACGUGUGCCCCGGCUCCCUAACAGACUGACUUUAGCUGAUGACAUGUGAGUACACUUCUGAGCACC